UUAGCUGUUUUAUUUGGUUUAGGGUUAUUUGCUAGCUGUUUUAUUUGGUUUAUUGACUGAGAAGCAAUUGUAGGUUUAAUUUGUGUUCCGUUUCAAACCUUCUGCCAGUUUUGUAUUUUCUCAUAUAAACUGUAAAAAAAACGGAUAUGUGUAUUCGCAGGCACUCGUCUUAUGCCUUUAUACAAUAAAUUCUGAGACCAGUGCCUGUGUGUGUAUUCAUUAAUUAACCGUAAAAUGAAAAAUAAAAUAGUAUAUAAUUAUACUUGAAUGUUUUUGUUUUAUUCCAAUUUUC
Molecule: long non-coding RNA, 292 nt
Filed under: Mytilus galloprovincialis (Mediterranean mussel)
Lineage: Eukaryota; Metazoa; Mollusca; Bivalvia; Mytilida; Mytilidae
Source: RNAcentral